UGCAGUCAAGUCAAAUUCAGUCCCUGUCCUGUCAUGGCAGGAACUGGCCCAGAUGGCUGCCACAACAAGUCCUGCUGCUCAUGGGCCCUGGGUCCCCUGUCCUGGGACCUAGGGAUAAGUUUAGCUGCAGACAUUG
This 136-nucleotide small nucleolar RNA is filed under the name Cricetulus griseus (Chinese hamster). Its description in RNAcentral is "Small nucleolar RNA SNORA5 (ENSCGRG00000021920.1, ENSCGRG00001008375.1, ENSCGRG00015039493.1)". It matches the Rfam family "Small nucleolar RNA SNORA5". From Rfam's summary of the family: ACA5 is a member of the H/ACA class of snoRNA that guide the sites of modification of uridines to pseudouridines. The record is from Rfam by way of RNAcentral. Lineage: Eukaryota; Metazoa; Chordata; Mammalia; Rodentia; Cricetidae.